This is a long non-coding RNA of Lolium rigidum, 3255 nucleotides long. RefSeq lists it as uncharacterized. The record is from RefSeq and is a predicted model, not a curated record. NCBI's taxonomy places the organism in Eukaryota, Viridiplantae, Streptophyta, Magnoliopsida, Poales, Poaceae. The transcript has 3 exons.
UCUCGCCGCUGGAGGCGUUCGUGAUCCAACGGCCGACAGCUUUGGGGGAUCGAUAAGGUGGAGAUGGAGUCCUCACACCAGAGGAGGAGGGGCUGCUGAGAGGAAAUCGCCUCCACAAUCCCCGUCAGGCUCCACCGAUCCACCUACCUCGAACCGCGCCCGCCUUGAAUGCCUCAUCCAAGCUCACCUUCAGUGAUGAGCCCAGCACCGGUGCCGCUUCACCGGUUUUUGGCCUGCAGGGCCUCGCCCAUGCCGACGCACACGCCCGGCAUCCCACGCCCCUCACCGUCACAGCUCUUUCCAUCUGUAGCGAGGCGAAUCUGCUCUUUCCAAAGAACCUGCAAUUUCGAGUUCUGUACCAUCUUGUGAAGGCCCCUGUCUACACCUACAUGCACUGCAAUCUGAAGCGACGCGGUCCUUCUCUUUCCAAGGGGCUUUUCUUCUCUCGGGAAAAAACAAAGGGUAAUUAGAGGCAUCAGUCAGCAGUCUCAAUAGAUGCUGAAAUUAAAGAUUUAAUAGAUUCUAAAAGAUUCCAUGAGAAUCACCAACACAUCACUACAUAGAUCACAACAACCCUUGGCUUGAGCUUCUUCUCCAAAUGCAAUUUGCAGGUAAAGUUUCCCGUGCCUCAAAUCCCAAUCUUCAGAUAAAAUUUGCCCUGCAGUACACAAAAAUAAAAUGCAACUUCAGAGAGAGAGAUAGAGAUAGAGAGAGGACCCGACUUAUAUGCAAGCGGAUGCAGUGGAUAUAUCAGCAAGUAGAAAGGAGAGGAUGUGAAAAAAGGGCAUGCUCGCUGUUAAGUCUGAGAAUUUGAACCACAUACAUGGAUCGGAGAAAAAGCAAGUAAAUUGCUCAGGUUUUCAUAUGGGGAAAAUUAAAGAAAUAACUAGAGUAGUAGAAACUUUUGGUGCAGGUUUAUAAUUUCUUAAUGCUAAUAAUGUUUAAAGUAGGUUUAUCGAAUUUCCCUUUCAAAUAUGUGGAAAUGAAUAAGAGCUGAUCCGGGGGUGGCCAUUCCUUUUUAGGCUCAUUUCAGUUGCUGACUGCUGCAGGAAUCUGCAAGGUCUUCAACAGAGUAGAGGGAAUCCACCACCAGGGUGAAUGGUGGUCCUCUCUCUCUAGCUCUCUCCAAAUGCCUCUUCUACCUUUUUUUUAGCGAAGAUCCAGAUUCCCUCUUCUAUUUCCAUGUCUUGACAAGUUUGAAUUUCUCCAAUAAGAACAAGAACAUAAUAGGUUUUUAUAACGUAUUUUGAGUGGUUGUGCUCUUGCUGAUGUUUGUUUUUUAAUCAAAUGCUUGCAAAUUAGUUGGGAAUUUCCUUGGACCAUUACUUUCUAUAUACCUACAAGUUUGUGUUUGACUAGCAUUUUCGGAAAAUAUUGUGGACAGGCAAAGUAAGGUAAACGGCCGCACAUCAAAGACCAAACUGUAAUUAUAAAGAGUGUUUCGUCCAAUAAGACUGAAAAGAGGAGGAAUUUUCCUAUGUACUUUUAGUUUUGUACAACACCAUAGAUGGAGUAAUGAUUAACAAAACUUUCUUAACUUAAUCAUCUCCCCCUGUAUUUGACAACGAAUGGUUGUGCUCAAAGUCCAUGUGCUAGCAACAUAUAUGGCUGCGAUUUUUCAGAAGAUAUAUGACUUUCGAGAAACAUACAAUUUUAUGUCGUAAUGCAGUUUCUGACAUGGUCACAUCCCACUUUGGUAUUAUAAGUGUGCAUAAGGUUCCGAUGUUGUGCAUAGAUUUUUUUAUUAUAGUACUAUGUGAUUUAGAGUUUUCUCUUUCAACCACAAUAAGAAGGUACAAAUGAGGCAACUAAAUGGGUCAAAUGGGUGUGGUUCUGCACAAUAGAUAUCACUCUAUCUCUCUCUCUCUCUCUCUCUCUCUCUCCUUUUACCUUUUGUUUUUGCUUUCAUAUGAUUUUUUUGCCAAGUACUUAUCCUUGAGUUUAUUCAGUUCCGUUGAUUGAGAGAUGUCUCCUCGACCUUGGUGAUAUCAUUAUCUUCAAAUUGUUUAUCUCUACAUGUAGGUGUUGGAGCUCAUGCGGCAAUAUAUUAAGGAUGAAAUGAGGCCAUGCAGAGUCAUUUUUCUGUCAUGUAUCAUUGUGGUUCUUGUUUUCUAUAUGUAACUGUGAAAGGUAUUUCCUUCUCUUGAUUGGUACAGUUAAGUGGUUUAUAUGAAAUAUAUAGCUGAAUGAUAUUUAGUCAGUGUCUUCUGUACAAAAACAUAGUAAACAACAUCAGGCACUGAAUCUUAUGUCCUCUGUUUUCUAGCAUGUCAGCUCUUUUAUCGGACCAAUUAGUGUGAACUUAACUAACGGGAAAGUCGCAGAUCUGCAGGGACCAUUCGAGGGUGUUUGCCAUUUCUUUUAUUCAUUUUCUCACUUAGUUCUUCAUUGCUCUCAUAGAACUUGAUUUAAAGUUUUUGGCUUGAAGCCGGUUCCACAACUUGAUUCAAAGGCCGUCAAAGGUCUCAAAGGCUGCGCAUGAUGUUGAUUCUGGAAAUUGCUAAGCUCACAAAACAAUCCAUGGAGCCUCGGCAGGGAAAACAUACAGUACAUGCUACAUAUAAUUUCACCUUCUUGGGCAUAGGGAAACACAAUGGAAGAGUAUACCAAGAAACCACGUCUCAAUUGAGAGAACAAUUAAAACAAUGAUGAAUCUGUACAUUUGAAAUUUCAUGGUACUGGAGGGCCCUGCCAUUUUGCGCUUGAUUGUUCUUCUGCUUGUGUGGGCACUUCUGGCUGGAUUGCUAAAUCAUUACAACAAGUUGCUUAACAUGGUGGCAUUCUUCCUUGGUAAUAUUGCGACCGUAAAUCUGAUACCUACUAUCCAUACAUGAUCAUGUACAAACUAUUAUCUGUUUUUCUUAAGUGAUUGAUUGGUUGUGGAGAAUUAGAACUGUUAAAAGAGGAUGCCUGACUACAACUCAGUUAGAUGGGAGUCUCUCAAAUUUUUCAUUUUGAGUUAUAUGAUCUGCCCGCAAUUUAAACUCAGUACCCCUAAUUGAGCAUGUACCAAGUUCUUUUGCUUUGGUCAAGACGAGUGACAAUGAUUCAGAUCUGGUCUAUGCAUUACUACAAGUUAAGAUGGUACGGCAACAUCUCCACUCGAGUCUUGCCUGAUCGCAAUACUAUCUAUAAGAGCGCAUACAUUGUUGAUGUAUCAUAUUUUCUUCAAGUGAUGUUGUAAUGGAGUUCUGUGUAUUCUACGACGGCUCAAUUUGUGCUAUGCCUAUAAUCAUUCAUUUUCAUUCUAUUUUC